RNAcentral lists this ribosomal RNA (432 nucleotides) under uncultured bacterium. RNAcentral's name for it is "partial 16S ribosomal RNA". It matches the Rfam family "Bacterial small subunit ribosomal RNA", at positions 29 to 506 of the family's 1533-position model. The record is from RNAcentral.
AACGAACGCUGGCGGCAUGCCUAACACAUGCAAGUCGAACGAGACCUUCGGGUCUAGUGGCGCACGGGUGCGUAACGCGUGGGAACCUGCCCUUAGGUUCGGAAUAACUCCCCGAAAGGGGUGCUAAUACCGGAUAAUGUCUUCGGACCAAAGAUUUAUCGCCUUUGGAUGGGCCCGCGUUGGAUUAGCUAGUUGGUAGGGUAAAAGCCUACCAAGGCGACGAUCCAUAGCUGGUCUGAGAGGAUGAUCAGCCACACUGGGACUGAGACACGGCCCAGACCCCUCGGGGGGGCAGCAGGGGGGAAUAUUGGACAAGGGGCGAAAGCCUGAUCCAGCAAUGCCGGGGGGGUGAUGAAGGCCUUGGGGUUGUAAAGCUCUUUUACCCGGGAUGAUAAUGACAGUACCGGGAGAAUAAGCCCCGGCUAACUCCGU